Non-coding RNA from Habropoda laboriosa, 47 nucleotides. The record is from Rfam. Lineage: Eukaryota; Metazoa; Arthropoda; Insecta; Hymenoptera; Apidae.
UCACCGGGUCUUUUCAGACCCACAUCUUACGAUUAUAAUAUUUAUAU